Non-coding RNA from Cinara cedri, 482 nucleotides. NCBI's taxonomy places the organism in Eukaryota, Metazoa, Arthropoda, Insecta, Hemiptera, Aphididae. The record is from the annotation of a GenBank genome assembly.
AGAAUAUUAAUCCAAUCCAUGACUCCUUUGGUUGCGUUGAAAAGGUCAUUUAGUUCACCUUUGUAUCGUCUUUGGGGGCAUUCUUAAAGGAUAUGGUACAUGGUCUGUUCCUUUCCGUCGUCACAUUUUUCGCUAUCACAGAGUUUACAUUUAUACAUUAGGCUAUUGCAUUUUCUUUUCUCUGUACGAAACCUGUUUAACUUUACAUCAUCACUCACAGUUUUUUAGGCAGGCCCAUCCUUGGUUGAGGUGUUUGAAUAUUUUUGACCAAAUUUCCAUUUGUUGGUUUACUCUUAUUUCACUCAAAUUCCCAUGGCUAGGUGUCUGUUCACUCUUUGUUUUUAUUUCUUCCACUCUGUGUAGAAAUGGCUUACAGGACUUCAGUCUUGAUUUACACACCCCAUCUUUAUGCAGCGGUAAGUCUGGAAUAUUAUUAAGCUUGUUAUGCAGAUUUAAUGUUCCUUUUUGUCUUCUGAUCUAGG